GACGAACCGUGCAAGCGUUAUUCGGAAUCACUGGGCUUAAAGGGCGCGUAGGCGGGCCGCCAGGUCCGGGGUGAAAGCCUCCAGCUCAACUGGAGAAGUGCCUUGGAUACCGGCGGGCUCGAGGGAGGUAGGGGCGUGCGGAACUUCGGGUGGAGCGGUGAAAUGCGUAGAUAUCCGAAGGAACACCGGUGGCGAAAGCGGCGCGCUGGAUCUCUUCUGACGCUGAGGCGCGAAAGCCAGGGGAGCAAACGGG
RNAcentral lists this ribosomal RNA (253 nucleotides) under uncultured bacterium. RNAcentral's name for it is "partial 16S ribosomal RNA". It matches the Rfam family "Bacterial small subunit ribosomal RNA", at positions 524 to 776 of the family's 1533-position model. The record is from RNAcentral.